AUUGAACGCUGGCGGCAUGCCUUACACAUGCAAGUCGAACGGUAACAGGUCUUCGGACGCUGACGAGUGGCGAACGGGUGAGUAAUACAUCGGAACGUGCCCAGUCGUGGGGGAUAACUACUCGAAAGAGUAGCUAAUACCGCAUACGAUCUGAGGAUGAAAGCGGGGGACCUUCGGGCCUCGCGCGAUUGGAGCGGCCGAUGGCAGAUUAGGUAGUUGGUGGGAUAAAAAGCUUACCAAGCCGACGAUCUGUAGCUGGGUCUGAGAGGACGACCAGCCACACUGGGACUGCGACACGGCCCAGACUCCUACGAGAGGCAGCAGUGGGGAAUCUUGGACAAUGGGGGCAACCCUGAUCCAGCCAUGCCGCGUGAGUGACGAAGGCCUUAGGGUUGUAAAACUCUUUCAGCGGGGACGAUAAUGACGGUACCCGCAGAAGAAGCCCGGCUAACUCCGUGCCAGCAGCAGCCGCGGUAAU
RNAcentral lists this ribosomal RNA (478 nucleotides) under uncultured bacterium. Its description in RNAcentral is "bacterial SSU rRNA". It matches the Rfam family "Bacterial small subunit ribosomal RNA", at positions 30 to 524 of the family's 1533-position model. The record is from RNAcentral.